Molecule: ribosomal RNA, 274 nt
Filed under: uncultured bacterium
Lineage: Bacteria
Description: partial 16S ribosomal RNA
Rfam family: Bacterial small subunit ribosomal RNA
Source: RNAcentral
AUACGGAGGGUCCAAGCGUUAUCCGGAUUCAUUGGGUUUAAAGGGUCCGCAGGCGGGAAAAUAAGUUAGUGGUGAAAGCCUACAGCUCAACUGUAGAACUGCCAUUGAUACUGUUUUUCUUGAGUAUAGAUGAAGUGGGCGGAAUAUAUCAUGUAGCGGUGAAAUGCAUAGAUAUGAUAUAGAACACCGAUUGCGAAGGCAGCUCACUAAACUAUUACUGACGCUCAGGGACGAAAGCGUGGGGAGCGAACAGGAUUAGAAACCCUAGUAGUCC